RNAcentral lists this microRNA precursor (88 nucleotides) under Chinchilla lanigera (long-tailed chinchilla). RNAcentral's name for it is "microRNA 374b (ENSCLAG00000021219.1)". The record is from RNAcentral. Lineage: Eukaryota; Metazoa; Chordata; Mammalia; Rodentia; Chinchillidae.
GAGGAAAUCCUAUUUGGAUAUAUACAAUACCACCUGCUAAGUGCUACGUGCAGGUUGUGUUAUCAUUGAUCGACUCUAUGGCUCUCAU